GCAUAUCAAUAAGCGGAGGAAAAGAAACCAACAGGGAUUGCCCUAGUAACGGCGAGUGAAGCGGCAACAGCUCAAAUUUGAAAUCUGGCCCUCGGGUCCGAGUUGUAAUUUGUAGAGGAUGCUUUUGGUGCGGUGCCUUCCGAGUUCCCUGGAACGGGACGCCAUAGAGGGUGAGAGCCCCGUCUGGUUGGACACCAAGCCUCUGUAAAGCUCCUUCGACGAGUCGAGUAGUUUGGGAAUGCUGCUCUAAAUGGGAGGUAUAUGUCUUCUAAAGCUAAAUACCGGCCAGAGACCGAUAGCGCACAAGUAGAGUGAUCGAAAGAUGAAAAGCACUUUGAAAAGAGGGUUAAACAGUACGUGAAAUUGUUGAAAGGGAAGCGCUUGCGACCAGACUUGGGCCCGGUUAAUCAUCCAGCGUUCUCGCUGGUGCACUUGGCCGGCCCAGGCCAGCAUCAGUUUGGCGCGGGGGAUAAAGGCUUCGGGAAUGUGGCUCCCCCGGGAGUGUUAUAGCCCGUUGUGCAAUACCCUGCGCUGGACUGAGGUUCGCGCAUGCUGCAAGGAUGCUGGCGUAAUGGUCAUUAGCGACCCGUCUUGAAACACGGACC
This 605-nucleotide ribosomal RNA is filed under the name Nectriaceae sp. JCM 28482. RNAcentral describes it as "eukaryotic LSU rRNA". It matches the Rfam family "Eukaryotic large subunit ribosomal RNA", at positions 38 to 667 of the family's 3401-position model. The record is from RNAcentral. Lineage: Eukaryota; Fungi; Ascomycota; Sordariomycetes; Hypocreales; Nectriaceae.